UCUCUCUCUCUCUCUCUCUCUCUCUCUCUCUCUCUCUCUCUCUCUCUCUUUCUCUGUCUGUCUUCGUGUUAUCUCUCAGUUUGUUACGGAAACGAAUAAUGCGCGUGUUACAAGGAGAACGAAUCGAAGGCAAGUCCAGCACGAAUUACGACGACUCGAUGAACGUCCGAACGUUAACUGACUGGCCUCACAGAGAGUCUUUGCGAGCUCCCACUGUCAGAAUCCGAGAGUAGUGGCCGUUCCAACGACCGUUGCCGAUCACUGAGGCGACCAACAUACAACCGAAUCGGUAGAAGGGACCCUUCCUGUCGGAUCACGCUCGUUAAUAAGAAGUAUGUUGUGACUGACGACUAAUAAUCGUUGACAACAUUGUUGAUAAUUAGCGUUCACAUAUUAUAGGCUACAUAAAUCGGAUCAAGUUGAUCGGCAAGAAAUCCAUCGCGCAAAUGCAUCCGUUGUUUCUCACCUCUGGAGUUGAUUGGAACUACACCAGGAUCAACUACUACAACGACGCCUACU
This is a long non-coding RNA of Vespula pensylvanica (western yellowjacket), 519 nucleotides long. RefSeq lists it as uncharacterized. NCBI's taxonomy places the organism in Eukaryota, Metazoa, Arthropoda, Insecta, Hymenoptera, Vespidae. The transcript is spliced from 3 exons. The record is from RefSeq and is a predicted model, not a curated record.